GACGAACGCUGGCGGCGCGCUUAACACAUGCAAGUCGAACGGUAAGGCCCUGCUUUUGUGGGGUGCUCGAGUGGCGAACGGGUGAGUAACACGUGAGUAACCUGCCCUCUACUUUGGGAUAACUUCAGGAAACUGGGGCUAAUACCGGAUAGUAGCUCCUCCUGCAUGGUGGGGGUUGGAAAGUUUCGGUGGUUGGGGAUGGACUCGCGGCUUAUUAGCUUGUUGGUGGGGUAGUGGCUUACCAAGGCUUUGACGGAUAGCCGGCCUGGGAGGGUGAGCGGCGAGAUUGGGACUAGAAUACGGCCCGGAGUACUACGGGGGACAAAAGUGGGGAAGGUGGAAGAAUGGGCGGGAGCCUGAUGGAGAGGCGCGGCGGGCGGGAUGUCGGGCUUCGGGUUGUAACCCGCUUUAGCCGGUAACAAAGCGGGAGUGACGGUAAUGGGUAAAGAAGCGCCGGCUAACUACGUG
RNAcentral lists this ribosomal RNA (468 nucleotides) under uncultured bacterium. RNAcentral's name for it is "partial 16S ribosomal RNA". It matches the Rfam family "Bacterial small subunit ribosomal RNA", at positions 28 to 507 of the family's 1533-position model. The record is from RNAcentral.